UUAAAUUUCCCCCCUCGCUCUCGCUCUCUCUCUCUCUCUCGCUAUCCGCUGCCGCCUCCCCGCGCCGCCGCCGCCUGCGUUCAGGCCCACGCCGACGUUGUGCUUGCGCACCGGAUCCACGCCGGCGCCGCCUUCUCCGACCUCAGUAUUGGGUGGAUCUGCCCCGACUCCUCCGCAUCCUCCUCCCUGACCUCGGGCCGGCGCUGCUCCUCCCCGACCUUGACACCGGUGCUGCGCCUCCCCGAGCUCGGGCUAGCGCACUCCUCCCCGAGCUCAUGUCGCGCUGCAGCUUUUCGACCCCGAGCCUUGGCGUCGACCGCACUGGGCGGGGGACUGCAGGGCUGGGCGCUGGCCACACUAGUCCCCUCGAUCCGCACCCCUCCCCGGCCUCCAAGCAGGUAGGAUUCAUUAGAUUCUCUGGAUCUGCUUCGUCCUCCACAUGAAUCCGUGAUUUCUUUCUAUUUGUGUGCGAUUCUGCUGCCCGCCCGCCGUCGCUGGAGGAGGACGGCUUCUCACCAUGAUGUCUUCCGACAAGUUACGUUUGCAAUGCCAGAGAGAUCAAAGAUUUCAUGCGUCAGGGUGCUCAACUUUCCUAGGGACGGUAAACUCACAAGAUUGCUUCACGAUUCACUUGGAGGGAGAACAAAGACUUGCAUUAUUGCAACCAUUUCACCCUCCGUGCAUUGCCUUGAAGAAACUUUGAGUACAUUGGACUAUGCACACCGAGCAAAGAGCAUCAAGAACAGGCCUGAGAAAGUUUCAACAUGUUCUUGUUGAAGCCAUGGCCGAGAAUGGACUUUACUAUGUGAAUUUAAAGAUUAGUAUGUCCAGAAUAAAAGAAAAACCUAACUUACUAUGUUUCAACAUGUUUCAUUUGCAGCACAAUGCACAACGCUCUUUCAAGUUUCAACAGAACAGAAGUCGUAGAAUUUAGUGAUCUGAGUUAAUAGUAGAAUUAGGCAAGCAAAAAUAGGAAGCCAAGCUUGCUUUGGCCUUUAUUAGUGGCACAAAUAGUAGAAUUUAGUGAUCUGAGUGUAUGGAUGUAACUGUAUACUCGUGUAUGUAUGCAUGUAUGUAUAAAAUAAAAGAAUAGAAGGUAUUUUGAUUUCUUUU
This is an RNA transcript of Panicum virgatum (switchgrass), 1113 nucleotides long. It is a transcript of the gene named kinesin-like protein KIN-5C, with no coding region annotated. NCBI's taxonomy places the organism in Eukaryota, Viridiplantae, Streptophyta, Magnoliopsida, Poales, Poaceae. The transcript has 5 exons. The record is from RefSeq and is a predicted model, not a curated record.